GGGCUCACUUCAGCAGCACAGAUACUAAAACUGGAAUGAUACAGAGAUUAGCAUGGCCUCUGCACAAGCAUGACAUACAAAUCUGUGAAACGUUCCAUAUUUUA
This is a small nuclear RNA of Cercocebus atys (sooty mangabey), 104 nucleotides long. The record is from Ensembl. Lineage: Eukaryota; Metazoa; Chordata; Mammalia; Primates; Cercopithecidae.